This 227-nucleotide unclassified non-coding RNA is filed under the name Hevea brasiliensis (rubber tree). The record is from RNAcentral. Lineage: Eukaryota; Viridiplantae; Streptophyta; Magnoliopsida; Malpighiales; Euphorbiaceae.
GAGCGACUAAAAGAAAAGGUAAACUUUUGAACUUCACUUAAAUGCCAAGAACUGGUAACUCGAGAAAUUCAUGCAUAAUUUUGUGCAAAAGGAAAGCGGGUCUUGUACGAUUAUGAGCCUAAAUUUUCUUUCCCCUAUUUUUAAUUCAUUGGAGUUUUAACCUAUUCAUAGCUUUUUCCCUUUUUGUGUAUUAUGUAUAUUUCAGGAGAAACUAUUGGCAGCUGAAA